This 102-nucleotide ribosomal RNA is filed under the name Carlito syrichta (Philippine tarsier). Lineage: Eukaryota; Metazoa; Chordata; Mammalia; Primates; Tarsiidae. The record is from RNAcentral.
GUCUAUGGCCAUACCACCCUGAAUGUACCCAAUCUCAUCUGAUCUUGCAUGCUAAGCAGGGCUGGACCUGGAAGAAUUUUAAAAGUUUUGGUGCUUGAAAAU